Molecule: unclassified non-coding RNA, 146 nt
Filed under: uncultured Leotiomycetes
Lineage: Eukaryota; Fungi; Ascomycota; Leotiomycetes
Description: sequence contains ITS2
Source: RNAcentral
CAACCCUCAAGCCCCCCGGCUUGGUAUUGGGCAUCGCCGGUCACGGCGUGCCUUAAAAUCAGUGGCGGUGCCAUCUGGCUCUAAGCGUAGUAACACUCUCGCUCUGGGUGCCCGGUGGUCGCUGGCCAGCAACCCCAUCUUUUUAA